CGCGAGCAACAGCCAGUACAUCGAUUGGUCAGUGUUUCGGUCAUUUUUAAUGAAGUUUUAGAAUUUUGUCGGAUAUCAUCGAGAGAUUCAUCCUUGAUGGAACUUUUUCAGAAGAUUUCCACUGAUUCUAGGACGAGGUGCUUGUUUACGAGCUUCCUGGAGGCGCCAGCCAGGCGAUCAUUUGAAUAUGAGGGCUUUUUAUUUUCAACGAAACAGGCUUUCGAUGGAGAAAGUUCGAGGCGGAUAGAUAGCGUGUCCGUCGAACAUCACGCGCGCGCGUGUGUGCACGAUUCAGUCCCGGUCAUUGCACGCCUCCCUACGGAUCCCGAUUUUUCGGUUUUCGUCCUUUUUUUUUUACGGAGGCCCUCUUCCUCUUCUUUUCGUCUCCCUUUGUGCUGUUUAAUCCUCAGCCCCCCGUCCCGCUGCUCCUUCGCUUCCUUGCACCGGCUGUCCUCGUCCCUCCGCCGCUUCGCCGCCGACGAAACUGCAUCGCGAUAUUUUAUUGGUUUUAUUCGCGGGAACAUCUGGCGCUCGGACAAAGGGAACUGGCCCUCAGGAAAUCUUCAGGAACGGAGGGUGGUUCGUCCGUUUUCGUUAGCCUGGUCGGCUCUAUUUACUUAUACCUAGUGACGUAGAAUGUUUGUAAACAAUGGCUUGGAUGCAGCCGUGGAUCGCCGAUCGACGCCAUCGUGGAUUAGGCUGCUCAUCCUGUCCAUUGAGGGUGGAUAUCUGGAGCGUCUAAUGGUCGACUCGAUACGUUUCUGGGGAAACUACGAAGACGUUUUUGAAUCAUCGUGCGACGUUUUUGGUGGUGGAAUGUUAACGACGCGGCGGAAAGAUAGAGAGAUUCUUGGAGAAUCGGCUUGCAGGCUUAACGUUUGCUAUGCGGAAUAACAGGACUUUCACGAUGGGCAAUCUAGGAUCUGCAUUCUCCACUCUUAAGAAUGACCCUUGAAAGGGAGACUCGAGACGAUUUGCAUACCAGGAUUUAUUGGCCACGUCGGAGCGCCGAUGAUAAUGUGAUCCGUUCGAAUUUACCGAACCUCGGCGUUGUACCAGCUUUCUCCGUUUUGUAACAUAACGUAGGAUGGAUCCUUACGAGACGAAGAGAAACAACUUGCAAGAGAGAAUUCUCCUAUCUAUGAAAGGAAAAAGCGCAGCUACGAAGCGCGGUUCGCUACAGGUGGUUUCAAAAGAUCGGUGGAUCUCAGGUCGAAGAAGAACCAUCGUGCCACGAUCUAUGCACACAUCGGGGCAACUCGCAAACCACUUCCCUCUCCUUUUGCAUCUGCUUGGACGCACGGAGCGUUCAGGAGAGCGGAUUUAAAACGAAGUUCGCGAGUGUAGGCGCGUUUCGGAACGAAAACAGACCGGUUCGCCAGGGCAGAGAGAGGCGCAACUCCAGCUUGUGGACCGAGCGACCGGCCAGCAUGGCGUCCCUUGGAUCCCUUUAAAACGAGUUAAUCCGUCUGCCUGGCCGUCUGCCGAUCGCCUGAGAACCAAGAAGAUUCAUUUUCCCUUUGUCCAUUCUUUUUCACACGUACCAAAAGGAGCUGCGGCUCAAUGGGACAAUGCAGCCAGCGCCGCGCGUUUUACGACGUUCCUUUUCGCACAGGUCCCACACACAUUUGAAUAAUCAACGCGUAGGCACAAGACCGCUUUUGUCGAACCGGGAACUCGAAAGGGAAAGAGAGAGAGAGAAUCAAGGAGAGGAAAGAGAAACGUCUCGAAGGCAGUCACGACAAAAGUGACACGCACGAUACGAAAUGAUUGUGUUGCAUAUUCUCGAACUGGACCCCGAAACACGGACAGAUGUUUCCCUUGCGUUCUCGUUUAGUUCGUCUCGAGAUCAUUUGUUCUGUCGCGCUACUAGAGCCAGAGGUGAAAAGACUACGCGUCGCGAUUACGUCAGACUUCCUUUCCUCCUUUUAAUUCGCGCGAGUUCGUUAACCUUCGACUCGUGAACUCUUCCUCUUAGCCGCUUCUCGAGGGAAUCUUCGUGGCCUUCUCUUUGCCCGUACGUCCCUUUCAAACGUUGUAUCGCGAACCUGGCCCUUGGUUUUUUGCCAAGGGUGAACGUUCUUCGAAAGAAAGCAACUCUUUUACAUCGUAUAAAGAAUCGUUUCUUUCACUUUUGUUUCUUUUCAGCAGACUCGACGAAAUGCUCGGACAAAUAUUACCAGGAUCCUGUGUGAUCCUUCCCGCGAAGCCUUCAACAGAAUACCAGAAAGAGUAACUUGAGAGAGGGAAUCGAUGUUCCUCGCCGCAGAUGUUCAGGCGUUUACGUAGACGGAGGGAAGUGUCUCGUAAAACCAUGUAAAUCUAAUGGACGAAGUUCGUUAACCUGACACGCGUGAAUUUAUGGCCGGUUCUCGAGGGAACAAAAGUGCCUUGAGAUCCUUCUGACGAACGAAACGCAUGUCGCACGUAUUUAGACGUUUUACGACUUCCUAUCGUUGCACGUAGCUCAUAACCGUGAACUUGGGAAUUCCUUCACAACGGGACAUUCUUGAUUUAUUAUUGUACUAUUUUGUUUGUCUAUGUCCCUUGCAAUUUAAGGCGUUACGCCGGUUCACGAUAAAUCAUUCACAACGUUAACCGCUAAUCUCGAAAGCGACGUCGAACUGAAAAUUCCACAUUUUUAAUCAUUUUCCCAAUACAGACCACGAAAAUAUCCUGUUACGCUUCUUAUAACGGAGAAAUAAUUUUCCCAGAAAUAACAAUCGAUUUCGAAAGCAACGAUGACUUGAGAGAAACUGACGCUGACUUUGGAUUAUUUUACCAAAACAGACCACCGUUACAUCGUUGAAUCUCACAAAACUAGCUAUCGAUUUGCAAAACAACGUUGAUAAAAGUUACCAUUUGGUCCAUUUGUCCAAUACAAAUCUCAGACUUCUUUUACAUACUGUAUGCUUCAAAUCUAUUAUUCAAGACAUUCACUGACAAUCAUCUAAGAACUCCCCACCGUUACACACAGCACCCAUUUCUCGCUAACCACGCUCAAUAUUCACCACGUCGAUGCAAUUUCUCUCGCAUAACGUAAAUGGUACCGCGAUUUAUCUCUCUGGAGCUACCAAUUAACUCACG
Molecule: long non-coding RNA, 3087 nt
Organism: Bombus impatiens (common eastern bumble bee)
Lineage: Eukaryota; Metazoa; Arthropoda; Insecta; Hymenoptera; Apidae
Exons: 6
Source: RefSeq, a predicted model, not a curated record